AAGUCGUAACAAGGUCUCCGUUGGUGAACCAGCGGAGGGAUCAUUACACAAUAACCAGGCGGGCUGGACACCCCCCGCUGGGCACUGCUUCACGGCGUGCGCGGCGGGGCCGGCCCUGCUGAAUUAUUCACCCGUGUCUUUUGCGUACUUCUUGUUUCCUGGGUGGGCUCGCCCGCCCUCAGGACCAACCACAAACCUUUUGCAAUAGCAAUCAGCGUCAGUAACAACGUAAUUAAUUACAACUUUCAACAACGGAUCUCUUGGUUCUG
RNAcentral lists this unclassified non-coding RNA (269 nucleotides) under Alternaria infectoria. RNAcentral describes it as "partial internal transcribed spacer region". The stretch from base 1 to 46 matches the Rfam family "Eukaryotic small subunit ribosomal RNA", at positions 1786 to 1831 of the family's 1831-position model. The record is from RNAcentral. Lineage: Eukaryota; Fungi; Ascomycota; Dothideomycetes; Pleosporales; Pleosporaceae.